Molecule: long non-coding RNA, 3072 nt
Filed under: Sus scrofa (pig)
Lineage: Eukaryota; Metazoa; Chordata; Mammalia; Artiodactyla; Suidae
Description: lncRNA (multiple genes)
Source: RNAcentral
ACACAAAUUAAUGAAUAUACCUAAACUACCAUGUAGAGAUAAGGCUUAAUAUAGAAAACAUUAUCAUUUUCCACAUAAUAAAACCAUCUAUAACAUUUGCAUUGUUACGAAAGUGCCAAGGUAAACUGCCUUCCCAAAAGAUACAGCAUAACUUGAUCCCAUGCUCAUUUCUUAUAUUUUCUUAAGUCAAAUAUGACGGCAAUACUAAUGCUUCUGUCAAGAUGACUCUUACUAUAUAUACAGGGUAUAUGCUCACCCUUAAGUUUCAUAAGGUAUUGAAAUACUUUGAGUUCUCUCAUUCCCGGUCCAAGAGACUAGAACCAUAAUAAAAAACAGUUUCUGUUCCAACCUCCACUGCUUGUGGACAUCUUGGCAUGUUUGUACACAUUAACUUCUUUCAAUAUUAUAUUAGUCACUUAAAAACAUUUUAACUGGUGUAAAGUUAUUCAUAAAACCGAGAAAAUAAGACACAUUGCUCACCUGUAAGAUGGAAAUUAUAAAUCAGCUUUUGCCUAUCAAUAUGAAGACUGAAUAUGGUAGUAUAAAGCAUAGGAUAUAGCCAAUGAAUCAAUAUUUCUUCUCUAUAUUUACCCACAUGUACUUACUUUUAUAUCUUAAAGAAAAGGGAAAUGUUGGCACAUAAGCUAAUCUUACUCUAAUUUUUAUUUUGUAUAAAUUAAAUAUUUAGUCACAGUAUUUGCUGUGAUAAAUAUACAUUUAUAUUAAGUGAAAAAAUUUGAAGUGUUACUGCACUAUCUCAUGGGGUAGCUAAGAGCAAAGAUAACCAUACAUGUUAAUGUUUUGUGUGAAUUUUAUACUAUCACCAAUACUUCUCUUUACUACAUGUCAAGCCCACACUGGCUGUGAUUGGGUAAAUCAAACUUAAUGCAAGGAUUGUAGACUCACCUUCAAAUGAUAAAGAUUUUGGUUUCCAUCAUUAAAUUAUUCAAAAUGGGACAGGAGAGGGACACAUCAAGCUAAGAAUCUUUCAUUAAGUUUACAAAUUGGGAAAAGGUUUCAGAAGUGCUUGUUUUGUCCAAGAAAAAAUUAUUUAUUUAAACUCAAUGUUAAGUGGAACUUGGGCUCAGAUAGCAUUUUUUCCUGAGUAAAUACCAUUGAAAUAUACUUUAAGGGAGAAAAUAUGUGUUAUAACUAAUUACAUCAAACAUAUAGUCCUGAACUGCAUGCAAAAUCCUUUAAAAACCUUGCAAGAGUCUUUUGUGAAGUCUUAUGUACCUGACUCUUUCCUUCUCCUAAUUUUUCUAUCUUAACGAUAAAUUUUCAAAGUUCUUCCUGGUAAUUUUACAAAGAGCUUUGCAAAGUUCUUUCACAUGUAAGUAAUCAUCAAAAUAUCACAGACUGCACAUACUCCACAGUUGGAAAAUGAGCUAGUAAUUGCCGAAAAGAGGACCUGAACCCCAGUGUUUUGUUUUGUUUUUUCAUAUUCAGUGGAAGAUUUUUGAUUUAUAAGUCAUUGAAUGUAAUCAUAAAUGCUAAAAUGUACAUAUAUAAUUAAUAGUAUAGGAUUUAUUUAGGGAAAAUAAAUUCUAGAGUGAUUGAAAGUGUUAUUUAUCCAGGAAAUGAUUAUUUAGCAUGUGAAGUUUAAGUAUAUCAGCACAUCCUGCCAGAAUGAGCUCAAAACCUCAAUUUUUUAGUGGAAAUACUAAUAGAACACCAGUCAACCUUUUCUGAUAUCCAUCCAAAUUUGAAUGUACAAUAAAAAGAAUAAAACAAAAUGAUGUCGAUUGCUAAUUAGGUACCUCUUUGAAUUCCGGAGUUAGUCAUACCUGCAAAUUUGAACAUAGAGCAAUGAUAAAGUGUGCUUCAUAACAAAAUUAAAAAUCCAUAUCCUGCUCAAAGUAGGUUAUAGGUUUCAGUGGGCCUAAAAUGAAGAGAAUAUUUACUACCAAGUAGGGGCAUAAACCAAGAACUCUUGGAUAUUGGUUGCAGAAAUAGACCCAAGGUAGCCAGGAGUCUGAUAUGUGAAGAAAAACUGGGGCUAAUAACCCUCCAUACAAAGGAAGAAUCAUGAGUUGAGUCUUGGUUGAUUUCUGGCUUAGGAUUUAGGAUGUAUGAAGCUGUGGAAAUGAGCAGAUAGCUAACCACCAGGUAUGGUUGGAACUGUCCAUCAGCACAAAGUCUGAACCUACAAUGCUCCCAAUAUUUCCCUGAAACAUGAGCCAGCAGUACCCAGUGUCAGAAUUAAUUGUAGACUGGGGCCCUGCUGGAAGGUUUGAAAUGGGCCAAGUAAGGAGGAGAGGGUUGGGAAUGGGAAGACUCUUCCACUUAAGAUUAGCCUACAAAUGAACAUGAAGUAGCUUCUGGUUAAUUCAAAAAGGAUUUAUGAGGAUAAGAUUAACUUCAAGGAGCUAGCCUGUUGAUCUCUUUGAGUAAUGAUUAUGAUAGAGGAAGUCUUUGACCACUGUUCUUCACGUAAGCAUCAAUCCUCAAGGUACUUAGAGCCUUCAGAUCCUGUCACCCUAGAUUAAUUCUUCUAGGAUCUUGAGAUUAGUUUGAAAAAAACUACUUGUUUUCUUCUUUGUCUUCUUUUGUCUAAGAAUAGCCUAUGGUUUUACAUAUGCCGACCACAUUUAAAUACCUUUUUCAAAUAUCUUUCAUCAAAAAACAAAGGAUAUAUGAGAAUUAUAGUAAUAUAUAUACCUGCUUUCCCAGAAAAACAAAAAGUGGGCUGAGGCUGAUAAAAUUUUAAUAUAGUUGUCUCACGUUCAUUUCAUCUGCCUUGCAUAAAUUUGCUUGUGCUUAUAAAAUAAAUUGAUGCCGUGGCUUGAAAAUUUGGUAAUAUGGACUUAAAAAAAUUUUUUUAACGGAAUAUUUUUCCUUUAUCAGGGAGCAAAUACACAAGCCCAUAAUGAUAAGCUGUGUUAUGAAAUAAAAGUUUUAUCAUACACAUUUCAUUUUUGAUGUUGCUGCAAAGAAAUAUUCUCAGUCAUACUGAUGAAUAUUUGUAUUGGGGAGAAAGUGUUUCAGCAGAUAAACUGCAGAUGGAGGUCCUAGGAAUAUCUGUAUUGGAAAUGAAAUUUUUCAAAUAGGAGCUUUCCAGGCUAUGUUUGC